CAGCGAGAUACGAGCGGCAGCCCAGCAGCCCGAGUGAACGCUCCUUCGACGAGUCGAGUUGUUUGGGAAUGCAGCUCUAAAUGGGUGGUAAAUUUCAUCUAAAGCUAAAUACUGGCCGGAGACCGAUAGCGCACAAGUAGAGUGAUCGAAAGAUGAAAAGCACUUUGAAAAGAGAGUUAAAAAGCACGUGAAAUUGUUGAAAGGGAAGCGCUUGCGACCAGACUCGCCUCCAGGGUUCAGCCGGCAUUCGUGCCGGUGUACUUCCCUGGGGGCGGGCCAGCGUCGGUUUGGGCGGCCGGUCAAAGGCUCCCGGAAUGUAGUGCCCUCCGGGGCACCUUAUAGCCGGGAGUGCAAUGCGGCCAGCCUGGACCGAGGAACGCGCUUCGGCACGGACGCUGGCAUAAUGGUCGUAAACGACCCGUCUUGAACCAACGGACC
This 438-nucleotide ribosomal RNA is filed under the name Aspergillus sp. Its description in RNAcentral is "LSU rRNA". It matches the Rfam family "Eukaryotic large subunit ribosomal RNA", at positions 208 to 667 of the family's 3401-position model. Lineage: Eukaryota; Fungi; Ascomycota; Eurotiomycetes; Eurotiales; Aspergillaceae. The record is from RNAcentral.